This 482-nucleotide ribosomal RNA is filed under the name uncultured bacterium. Its description in RNAcentral is "partial 16S ribosomal RNA". It matches the Rfam family "Bacterial small subunit ribosomal RNA", at positions 28 to 523 of the family's 1533-position model. The record is from RNAcentral.
GAUGAACGCUGGCGGCGUGCUUAACACAUGCAAGUCGAACGAUGAAGCUCCAGCUUGCUGGAGUGGAUUAGUGGCGAACGGGUGAGUAACACGUGAGUAACCUGCCCUUGACUCUGGAUUAGCCUUGGAAACGAGGGCUAAUUACCGAUAGGAACACUCAUCGCAUGGUGGGUGGUGGGAAGGAUUUCGGUUAUGGAUGGACUCGCGGCCUAACAGCUUGUUUGUGAGGUAAUGGCUCACCAAGGCGACGACGGGUAGCCGGCCUGAGAGGGGGACCGGCCACACUGGGACUGAGACACUGCCCAGACUCCUACGGGAGGCAGCAGUGGGGAAUAUUGCACAAUGGGCGCAAGCCUGAUGCAGCGACGCCGCGUGAGGGAUGACGGCCUUCGGGUUGUAAACCUCUUUCAGUAGGGAAGAAGCGAAAGUGACGGUACCUGCAGAAGAAGCACCGGCUAACUACGUGCCAGCAGCCGCCGUAA